Molecule: ribosomal RNA, 695 nt
Filed under: uncultured bacterium
Lineage: Bacteria
Description: bacterial SSU rRNA
Rfam family: Bacterial small subunit ribosomal RNA
Source: RNAcentral
AGUCGAGGGGCAGCAUAUCGCUUCGGUGAUGAUGGCGACCGGCGCACGGGUGAGUAUCGCNGUUUGCAACCUACCCUUAACUGGGGAAUAGCCCGAAGAAAUUCGGAUUAAUACCCCAUAAUAUUUAAGAACGGCAUCGUUUUUUUAUUAAAGCUCUGGCGGUUAAGGAUGGGCAUGCGUGACAUUAGUUUGUUGGUGAGGUAAUGGCUCACCAAGACUACGAUGUCUAGGGGGUCUGAGAGGAUGAUCCCCCACACUGGUACUGAGACACGGACCAGACUCCUACGGGAGGCAGCAGUGAGGAAUAUUGGGCAAUGGACGCAAGUCUGACCCAGCCAUGCCGCGUGCAGGAUGACGGCGCUAUGCGUUGUAAACUGCUUUUAUACAGGAAGAAAUCCUCCUACGUGUAGGGGGUUGACUGUACUGUAAGAAUAAGCAUCGGCUAACUCCGUGCCAGCAGCCGCGGUAAUACGGAGGAUGCAAGCGUUAUCCGGAUUCAUUGGGUUUAAAGGGUGCGCAGGCGGGGCAAUAAGUCAGUGGUGAAAUCCUGCGGCUUAACCGUANAACUGCCAUUGAUACUGUUGCCCUUGAGUAUAGUUGAGGUGGGCGNAAUAUGUAAUGUANCGGUGAAAUGCAUANAUAUUACAUANAACACCAAUUGCGAAGGCAGCUCACUAAACUAUCACUGACGCUGA